RNAcentral lists this long non-coding RNA (712 nucleotides) under Marmota monax (woodchuck). The record is from RNAcentral. Lineage: Eukaryota; Metazoa; Chordata; Mammalia; Rodentia; Sciuridae.
GUAGUGAUUUUGCAUGCUAAAUUUUAAGAUUUUUAGGUAUUCUUUUUUAAAAUAUAUUUUUAGUUGUCUAUGGACCUUUUUUAUUUUAUUUUAUUUUAUUUUUUAUUAAUAUGUGUUGCUGAGAAUUGAACCCAGUGCCUUACACAUGCUAGGCAAGUGCUCUACCACUUAAGUCACAACUCCAGCCCAGAUUUUUAGGUAUUCUUGACAUGUUUUUCCAAAAACAAAAUCAGUAUAAAUGCCCUUUUAUUUUUAAAAUCUCAACCCGUCUUUGUACUAAUGCAAUUUGAUUGGUUUUCACCCGAGUGAUGAAAAGUGGGGAGGGUUAUGUGUUGGGACUAACAGGUGAUAAGAUUGUCAUGACUCCAGAUACAUUGUGGAUCACAAAUAUGGGCUGGCUCUGUCAGAGAUAUCACCUUUCCACCGUUUCCCUACGUGAAACCUAGAAGUCUUUGCCUUUUCCUCUUUCAUGCCCUGCAUGCAAUAAGUAGAGCCUUAUUGAUUACUUAUUUAGAAAAAUCUCUUGGCUUCGUCUUUUCUGUUCCUGCAACCAGGGUAUCAUUUCUUUUUUUGCUUAGUUUUGUUAUUGUUUUUUGUGAUCCCUCCCAUCUCCCGCCACCGUGUGAUUCUGGGGAUUGAACCUAGGGCCUUGAACAUGCUAGGCAAACACUGAGCUGUAUCUCCAGCUGUUUAAAUUCUGUAUUGAAACAGG